RNAcentral lists this unclassified non-coding RNA (213 nucleotides) under fungal sp. Its description in RNAcentral is "partial internal transcribed spacer region". The stretch from base 1 to 46 matches the Rfam family "Eukaryotic small subunit ribosomal RNA", at positions 1786 to 1831 of the family's 1831-position model. Lineage: Eukaryota; Fungi. The record is from RNAcentral.
AAGUCGUAACAAGGUCUCCGUUGGUGAACCAGCGGAGGGAUCAUUACCAGAGUGCCCCCAGGCUCUGCCGACCCUUGAGAACAAUACCCGACGAAACGUUGCCUCGGCGCGCCCCAGGGCCGCCGGCGGCCCCCCACCAGACUCGUUGCGACGUGUGCUCUGACUACCUUUUGGAAAUGAUAAAAACUUUCAGCAAUGGAUCUCUUGGCUCUG